RNAcentral lists this unclassified non-coding RNA (378 nucleotides) under plant metagenome. Its description in RNAcentral is "partial contains 5.8S ribosomal RNA, internal transcribed spacer 2, and large subunit ribosomal RNA". The stretch from base 1 to 105 matches the Rfam family "5.8S ribosomal RNA", at positions 50 to 154 of the family's 154-position model. The record is from RNAcentral.
GAAAUGCGAUAAGUAAUGUGAAUUGCAGAAUUCAGUGAAUCAUCGAAUCUUUGAACGCACCUUGCGCUCCUUGGUAUUCCUUGGAGCAUGCCUGUUUGAGUAUCAUGAAAUCUUCAAAGUAAAUCUUUUUUUAACUCAAUUGGUUUCUACUUUGGUAUUGGAGGUCUUUGCAGCUUCACACCUGCUCCUCUUUGUUCAUUAGCUGGAUCUCAGUGUUAUGCUUGGUUCCACUCGGCGUGAUAAGUUAUCUAUCGCUGAGGACACUGUAAAAGGUGGCCAAGGUAAAUGCAGAUGAACCGCUUCUAAUAGUCCAUUGACUUGGACAAUACUUUUAUGAUCUGAUCUCAUAUCAGGUAGGACUACCCGCUGAACUUAAGC